Molecule: long non-coding RNA, 4960 nt
Organism: Marmota monax (woodchuck)
Lineage: Eukaryota; Metazoa; Chordata; Mammalia; Rodentia; Sciuridae
Exons: 5
Source: RefSeq, a predicted model, not a curated record
UCUGGCCUUUUCUCCACAUUCACCAAGUGGGAGAAACGGUUGAGAGCAGAAGGCAGUUUAACUUUGACAGCCCAAUGAGAGAAUCAGCUAAGAGCUAUUCCAAGGACCAUGUUUUCCAGAACGGAUUAUAUAUUGAAUCAAUGAAGGUGUUUCUCUCCGAGCAGACAGCUCAUCUCCAAGAGCUUCACAGGAAUCUUCUCCUGGUAUUUACACAGAUGGGAGAGGCGGCUCUUCUUGCCCUCCCUGCCUGAUCAUUCGGUCUUCCUCUCCCCAGCCUCUCCUGGCGGUGCACAGCUGGGAAUGAAUGGGAGAUUUCAGCCAGCUCUCCCGGUCAAGCAUCCAACCCUUCCACUCAGAGCCUGGAGUCUUUACUGGAGAAAGGUAUGGAGAGCUUACUUCAGUGUGAGUCCCAUGCAGGCUAAAUCAGAACAUGAUGGCUUCAAAUUGCAUAUCUAGCAGGCUUCAAGGCAGAGUUGGUUCAGCUGAUCUAACCAGAUGAGAGGAUGUUCUAGAUUCACAAUGAAGCCUGGGAAUGGGGUGCAAAGAGAGCAGACAUGAAAUCGUUUACCAUUUAGACCGUCUGGGCACAGAGCAGGCAAGGUGACUUCUGCCAGCCCAGAGGCCUGAGGACUCCGACAGUGCUGCCAGGUGGCAUGUGGGGCCUCACAGCCCUUGUUGGAGAGGCCCAGCGAGCCGACCCCCGACCCCCGCCGCGAUGUUUACCGCAGCAGGACCGAAUGACCCAGUUUCCCCAGCGGGACAGCACAGCGCGGCCCGCACGGGAUCCGGCAUCCGCGUGUCUCUUCUGCCCCCUGCCGGCCGCAGUCAGUAGGCUCACCAGUUCCCGCAAUCCCAGGCGGGGUCCGCUGCGGGAAUUGCCUCUCAGGCCUGUAAAUGUUUGCAGAUGGAACUGAAUGAGUGAAUGUGUACAGUUCUUGGCUCUGGGACCUACAGCAGCCAAAGAAACAGGAACUAAAAAAUUUCGGGAAAAUCAUGAAUUCAGCCGAACUGGGCCUGGGCUCGCAGCCCGCCUAGGCUUUGCAGCCCUCCAGGGCUUGCUGCAUGCCCCUCCUGAGCCCUCCCUCACAGCCCGUUGCAUUCCUAGGAUGAACUAGACUUUUCCAGGCCCUGGUCAACUAGUUACACUUUCCUCCUUACACUUUCUGUGUUCCCACUGAGUGGCCCCAAGUCUCUGCUUGAUUGCCUCCAGUGACAGGGCCCUCACUUUCUGUCAGAGUAGGUUCCACUUUCUGAGGGAAAAGAAUAAGAACAUUCAUAAGAGUGCUCUUUUUCUUCUUGGAACCAAAUAUGUCACUUAACACUUCCACUCAGAAAUCUGCUAUGUUGACCCUGUGACAACCUUUCAGCUCCUUUAAGACAAGAGUCAUUCUUGAGACUUCUGUACCUCCAAAUAGAUGAGAUUUAUCUCUACAGAGGGAUCUGGAGAACCAAAGAGGUCUGGGAGAAUCAUAUAAUGAUCCAGCAGUGGUGGAAUUCUGAAAGGUGAAGUUCUCAUUAGUGCAAAGACCUUCUGAAAAGCAGCCGUGUGCAUACUCAUGGGAAGAGCCCUAACUGCUAGGAUGGGGGGAUUCUUUAAUUGCUAUUUACAAUGUUUUCAAUUUAGAAUUUACAAAGCUCUUUCAUAGGUAUUAUCUCAGCAAGUCAAGCUAUUUUCAUACUAAUCUUAGGGACGAGGAAAUUGAAGCCUCAGAGAGGAAAAUAUAUCACUUGUGAUUAGACAGGAAGUAAAAGGUAGCUGGCACCAAAACCUGAUCUUCUAAUCCCAAGGCUGCCAUUCUCACUACAAAAACAUUGACGCUUCUGCGUCUUGAGAAUGUAAAAACACAGAAAAAAAUAAAACAAAACAAGGUAGAGAGAAAGUAUUGAGCACUUGCUAUAUGCCAGACACUGUUCUAUGGGCUCACUAUGUUUUAACUUAGAGUUCAAAACAACAACCCAAAGUAUGUGCUAUUGUUAUUCUUGCCAUUUAUUUUUCAGGGUUAGUAAAUAAAGAGUCCAUCCAGCACAGUAACCCAUGCAGUCCAGUCCAGAGCCCACGGUUCCCAGUGCUUGUUUGAGUCUGUGCACACAUCUUUGCUGGUCUCUCUCACUUACCUACCAAUGACCCUGAGGAGGAAGUUAAAGGAGAGCUCUCCCAGGUGAGAGUAGGAGACUCUCCCUCAAAGACCUGCUGGUGUGAUGGUCGAGGGCCUAGAGGCUGGCUCAAAUCCUGGCUCUGCCACUAUAUGGUUGAGUGACCAUGGACAAGAUCUUCAACCUCUUUUUCCCCCUUGGAGAAACCUCAUUGGGUUUCUAUGGGUUAUGAAUUAAUAUUUUUGAAAAACUUAGAGAAGUGAAUAUUUACAAUUAAAUCUGGACUCCUGUCUGUUGCAGGUAACUGGGGGAAACACUGGAGUGUGGGUUAAAGCAAGGGCCAUAACCAGUGGACACAUAAAGAAUGAAUCUUGGAGCCUAGGAAGAGGAGGGCCAGGCAGGGGUGGAGGAGAAAGGAAUGAAGAAAGGACUUGAAUGACUUUUGGUGAGAUCUGAAUUAUUUGUGGAGUCACAGUUUCUCUGAAUUAGAAAGAUCUUUCUGGAGAGUCUAAUGUAACCAGGCAGGUGAGCAAGGAAGAACCUGUGCCAGAGGCCUCAGGAGACCAAGAAUCCCCUGCUUUCCAAGACCUGGGGCACACUGUAUUAAAAUGAAUAACACUUAUAAUGGGGUGUUGGGGAAGGUUCUCUGGCCCCUUGAGGAAAUUCCACAGCAGGAGUAUAGGGCCCAGAAGCCUCUACACCUGGCUUCCAUUUGAUUUUAUGUUUUCUUCCCAGGGAUAAUACAAAUUUGCAGCAUAACUGAGUCCCAAACUAAUAGUGCACUUGUUACCGCUGUUGUCCUUGCUUCCCCAAUGUUGAAGAAUAACACCAAAGAAGCACGCCGAGGCAAGGUCAGAGUAGAAAUUAGAAGUUUAUUAAAGGACAGCAGAAAAGACUUCUCGGGAGGAAGAAGGGGACCCAAGAGGUGGAAUCCGUGGAAGUGCUGUUGUCUCCCCUUUUUAUAGUUUUGGUGAUGGAAUGUAAGGGGGAAGGGUUGGGACACAGGUGGGCCAAAGAAGUAAUCUGGGCAGGAAGGACUUCAUUAACACUUCUUUGGGAUGGGCUAUCUCCAAAUCUGUUGGGGGCUGUUUCCUGGGUUCCAUUAACAUUUCUUUGGGGUGGACUUUGGCCUAGGGCCUUUCCGGGACUUCAUUAACAUUCCCUGAGUUGUCCUGCGUUUCUGGAAUCAUUAUCAGCAUGGCCUCCAUUUUAGAUUUCACUCGAUAUGAUAUUAGACCCGAUUUACCUAACUACACUGACUACCUAACUUUAAAUCUGGCUUCACACUGAUAAGAAUAACCCAUAUAUAUAAGGGAUUCCCAUGUGCUAGACGUGGUUCUGAACACUUGUGUUAACUUAUUCAGUUUUUUUUUUUUAAUCAUUGCUUUGUCAUUUGUAUUAUCCCCUGUUGAGAGCCACAGUUUAGUCGGAAUGACCCCUGGCAUUUUGCUAGAGGGAAUGGUUGAAAGGUGACCCUGCUCCAGGAUUAGGGCGGAUCCUGCUGCCUAGGGCGCCGCCUGCCCGCUACUUUGGAGUUCCUGUUGAGUUCUCGCGGGGUUCCGGGAGAAUUGGUGCGCGGAGCCCGGUGGAGUGUGUGUGUUCCUGGGAAGUGUGUGUAGAGUGCCAGAGAGAGUUCAGGAAUAAAAAAAGAGUUGCUUUUUGAACCUACAAGGCUUUGUGGCGGCUUGGUUAUUUGUGCCCAGCCAGACUGCGGCAAUCCCCCUUUACCCAGAAAGAAAUAUAUACACCAAGGUUCUAGCACUUAAAACUACCACCAUGUGGUGAGUUAUCCAAAUCACAUGACGAGAAUCAGUCCAUCUGACUCCAGGACUGGUGUUCUUAACCACAGCAGAAAUCCAUUCAUUGUCCUCAUUUCAAAAAUGAUUGAAAUCACCAACUGUGGUGGCUCAUGUCUGUAAAAUCCAGCAACUCAGGAGGCUGAGGCAUUUCGAGGCCAGCCUCAGCAAUUUAGUGAGACCCUGACUCAAAAUAAAAAAGGCUGGGGAUGUGGGGAUGUUGCUCAAUGGUAGCGUGCCCCUGGGUCCAAUCUCCAAUUAAAAACAAGAAGAACAAAAGAAAUGGUAUAUUGAAAAAUAUUGUCUGAAGAUUUAGCUGGAUUUUUAAAUGUUUCAGAAAUGCAUCUUUCUCUUAUAGCUUGUGACAGCAUUUUCUCUGGGGAAAAAAAAAUGGCUCCAUCCAGAUCAUCCUCUACUCUUCCACCAGGCUUGUUUGUUCCAUGCUAGGCAUUGUUGAGUGCCUGGCAUGUUGCACAGAAUCACAGAAACUCAAGUUGCUGUCCUGAUGGAGUUUUACAUUCUGGUAAAAGAGAGAGACACGGGGUGGGGUGUUAUGGUUUAGAUGUAGUGUCUCCCAAAAGCUCACAUGUGAAACAAUUGAAGUUUCAUAGAAAUGACUGGGUUAGGAGAGCCUUAACGCAAUCAGUGCAUCAAUCACCUGAUGGGAUUAAUUUAGUGGUAACUGAAGGCAGGUGGGGUGUGGCUAGAGGAGGUGGGGCAUUGGAGCGUGGCUUUGGAGUAUAUAUAUUUGUAUCUGAAGAGUGGAGUCUCUCUCUGCUUUGUGGUCAUCAUGUGAGCUUCUUCCCUCUGCCACACUAUCCUGCCCUGAUGUUCAGCCUCACCUUGAGCCCCCAGGAAUGGAGCAAGCCUUCUAUGGACUAAGACCUCUGAAACCGUGAGCCCUUGAAUAAACUUUUCCUCCUGUAAAAUUGUUCUGGUCAGAUCCUUUAGUCACAGCAGUUAAAAAGCUGACUAAAACACAGGGCAAACAGACACACUGAUGUAUAAUCCCAUACUGCGAUGAGUGUUAUGAAGAAAAAAUCCGGACUGCUCUGACUGUGCAUUAGGAA